RNAcentral lists this ribosomal RNA (549 nucleotides) under uncultured Glomeromycotina. RNAcentral describes it as "SSU rRNA". It matches the Rfam family "Eukaryotic small subunit ribosomal RNA", at positions 548 to 1098 of the family's 1831-position model. The record is from RNAcentral. Lineage: Eukaryota; Fungi; Glomeromycota.
UUGGAGGGCAAGUCUGGUGCCAGCAGCCGCGGUAAUUCCAGCUCCAAUAGCGUAUAUUAAAGUUGUUGCAGUUAAAAAGCUCGUAGUUGAAUUUCGGGGUUAGUAGGUUGGUCAUGCCUCUGGUAUGUACUGGUCUCACUGAUUCCUCCUUCCUGAUGAGCCGUAAUGCCAUUAAUUUGGUGUUGCGGGGAAUUUGGACUGUUACUUUGAAAAAAUUAGAGUGUUUAAAGCAAGCUAACGCUUGAAUACAUUAGCAUGGAAUAACGAAAUAGGACGUUCGAUCCUAUUUUGUUGGUUUCUAGGAUUGACGUAAUGAUUAAUAGGGAUAGUUGGGGGCAUUAGUAUUCAAUUGUCAGAGGUGAAAUUCUUGGAUUUAUUGAAGACUAACUACUGCGAAAGCGUUUGCCAAGGAUGUUUUCAUUAAUCAAGAACGAAAGUUAGGGGAUCGAAGACGAUCAGAUACCGUCGUAGUCUUAACCAUAAACUAUGCCGACUAGGGAUCGGAUGAUGUUAAUUUUUUAAUGACUCAUUCGGCGCCUUACGGGAAAC